Molecule: small RNA, 132 nt
Filed under: Escherichia coli
Lineage: Bacteria; Pseudomonadati; Pseudomonadota; Gammaproteobacteria; Enterobacterales; Enterobacteriaceae
Description: RtT sRNA
Rfam family: RtT RNA
About the family: This family represents a bacterial cis-regulatory element known as RtT RNA. The exact function of RtT is unknown although it is thought that it may be involved in changing the cellular response in relation to amino acid starvation.
Source: RNAcentral
AUUCUGCCCAUGCGGGGAAGGAUGGGAAGCUUCGACCAAGGUUCGACUCGAGCGCCAGCGAGAGAGCGUUGCCGCAGGCAACGACCCGUAGGGCGAAGCGCGCAGCGCUGAGUAAUCCUUCCCCCACCACCA